AGACGGAGGGUGCAAGCGUUAAUCGGAAUUACUGGGCGUAAAGCGCUCGUAGGCGGCUUGUUAAGUCGGAUGUGAAAGCCCCGGGCUCAACCUGGGAACUGCAUUCGAUACUGGCAGGCUAGAGUAUAGUAGAGGCAAGUGGAAUUCCGGGUGUAGCGGUGAAAUGCGUAGAUAUCCGGAGGAACACCAGCGGCGAAGGCGGCUAACUGGCCUAGUACUGACACUCAUGGACAAAAGCGUGGGGAGCAAACGGGAUUAGAAACCCCGGUAGUCC
This 274-nucleotide ribosomal RNA is filed under the name uncultured bacterium. RNAcentral describes it as "partial 16S ribosomal RNA". It matches the Rfam family "Bacterial small subunit ribosomal RNA", at positions 523 to 796 of the family's 1533-position model. The record is from RNAcentral.